UACAGGGGGUGCAAGCGUUGUCCGGAAUUAUUGGGCGUAAAGAGCUCGUAGGCGGUUUGUCGCGUCUGCUGUGAAAACUCGGGGCUUAACUCCGGGCCUGCAGUGGGUACGGGCAGACUAGAGUGCGGUAGGGGAGACUGGAAUUCCUGGUGUAGCGGUGAAAUGCGCAGAUAUCAGGAGGAACACCGGUGGCGAAGGCGGGUCUCUGGGCCGUAACUGACGCUGAGGAGCGAAAGCGUGGGGAGCGAACAGG
Molecule: ribosomal RNA, 253 nt
Filed under: uncultured bacterium
Lineage: Bacteria
Description: partial 16S ribosomal RNA
Rfam family: Bacterial small subunit ribosomal RNA
Source: RNAcentral